This 69-nucleotide transfer RNA is filed under the name Cheilinus undulatus (humphead wrasse). Its description in RNAcentral is "tRNA-His". It matches the Rfam family "tRNA". Rfam says of the family: Transfer RNA (tRNA) molecules are approximately 80 nucleotides in length. The record is from RNAcentral. Lineage: Eukaryota; Metazoa; Chordata; Actinopteri; Labriformes; Labridae.
GUAGAUAUAGUUUAGCCAAAACGCCAGAUUGUGAUUCCGGAAACAGAGGUUAAGUCCCUCUUAUCCACC